GUACACUCCUGCGGGAGGCAGCAGUGGGGAAUUUUGGACAAUGGGCGAAAGCCUGAUCCAGCAAUGCCGCGUGAGUGAAGAAGGCCUUCGGGUUGUAAAGCUCUUUUGUCAGGGAAGAAACGGUGAGAGCUAAUAUCUUUUGCUAAUGACGGUACCUGAAGAAUAAGCACCGGCUAACUACGUGCCAGCAGCCGCGGUAAUACGUAGGGUGCAAGCGUUAAUCGGAAUUACUGGGCGUAAAGCGUGCGCAGGCGGUUUUGUAAGUCUGAUGUGAAAUCCCCGGGCUCAACCUGGGAAUUGCAUUGGAGACUGCAAGGCUAGAAUCUGGCAGAGGGGGGUAGAAUUCCACGUGUAGCAGUGAAAUGCGUAGAUAUGUGGAGGAACACCGAUGGCGAAGGCAGCCCCCUGGGUCAAGAUUGACGCUCAUGCACGAAAGCGUGGGGAGCAAACAGGAUUAGAUACCCGAGUAGUCCCAUGAU
This 479-nucleotide ribosomal RNA is filed under the name uncultured organism. Its description in RNAcentral is "partial 16S ribosomal RNA". It matches the Rfam family "Bacterial small subunit ribosomal RNA", at positions 331 to 801 of the family's 1533-position model. The record is from RNAcentral.